GGGGAGCAUGUGGGUUUAUUCGGAGAUACGCGAAGAACCUUACCUAGCCUUGACAUAUUGGAGGACUCCGUAGAGAUACAGAGGUGCUUUCGGGGAGCUCAUAUACAGGUGGCUGCACGGCUGUCGUCAGCUCGGUGUCGUGAGAUGUUGGGGUUAAGUCCCGCUUACGAGCGCAACCCUCGUCACUAGUUACUUAACGGUUCGGCCGAGGACUCUAGUGAGACUGCCUUCGGUAAGGAGGAGGAAGGUGAGGACGACGUCAAGUCAUCAUGGCCCUUACGGCUAGGGGCAACACACGUGCUACAAUGGCCAGGACAGUGAGAAGCGAUACCGCGAGGUGGAGCAAAUCUAUAAACCUGGUCUCAGUUCGGAUUGUAGUCUGCAACUCGACUACAUGAAGCUGGGAAUCACUAGUAAUCGUAGAUCAGCUAUGCUACGGUGAAUACGUUCCCGGGUCUUGUACUCACCGCCCGUUCACACCAUGGGAGUUGGAUUUUCACCCGGAAGCGGGGAAGCUAAACUGGCUACCCUCCACGGUGGAAUCAGCCGACUGGGGUGAAGUCGUUAUACAAGGGUUA
RNAcentral lists this ribosomal RNA (578 nucleotides) under epsilon proteobacterium ectosymbiont of Symmetromphalus aff. hageni. Its description in RNAcentral is "bacterial SSU rRNA". It matches the Rfam family "Bacterial small subunit ribosomal RNA", at positions 932 to 1500 of the family's 1533-position model. Lineage: Bacteria; Pseudomonadati; Campylobacterota. The record is from RNAcentral.